AGCGGUAGCACAAGGGAGCUUGCUCCCUGGGUGACGAGCGGCGGACGGGUGAGUAAUGUCUGGGAAACUGCCUGAUGGAGGGGGAUAACUACUGGAAACGGUAGCUAAUACCGCAUAACGUCGCAAGACCAAAGAGGGGGACCUUCGGGCCUCUUGCCAUCAGAUGUGCCCAGAUGGGAUAGCUAGUAGGUGGGGUAAUGGCUCACCUAGGCGACGAUCCCUAGCUGGUCUGAGAGGAUGACCGGCCACACUGGAACUGAGACACGGUCCAGACUCCUACGGGAGGCAGCAGUGGGGAAUAUUGCACAAUGGGCGCAAGCCUGAUGCAGCCAUGCCGCGUGUGUGAAGAAGGCCUUCGGGUUGUAAAGCACUUUCAGCGAGGAGGAAGGUGAUGAACUUAAUACGUUCAUCAAUUGACGUUACUCGCAGAAGAAGCACCGGCUAACUCCGUGCCAGCAGCCGCGGUAAUACGGAGGGUGCAAGCGUUAAUCGGAAUUACUGGGCGUAAAGCACACGCAGGCGGUUUGUUAAGUCAGAUGUGAAAUCCCCGGGCUCAACCUGGGAACUGCAUUUGAAACUGGCAAGCUAGAGUCUCGUAGAGGGGGGUAGAAUUCCAGGUGUAGCGGUGAAAUGCGUAGAGAUCUGGAGGAAUACCGGUGGCGAAGGCGGCCCCCUGGACGAAGACUGACGCUCAGGUGCGAAAGCGUGGGGAGCAGACAGGAUUAGAUACCCUGGUAGUCCACGCUGUAAACGAUGUCGAUUUGGAGGUUGUGCCCUUGAGGCGUGGCUUCCGGAGCUAACGCGUUAAAUCGACCGCCUGGGGAGUACGGCCGCAAGGUUAAAACUCAAAUGAAUUGACGGGGGCCCGCACAAGCGGUGGAGCAUGUGGUUUAAUUCGAUGCAACGCGAAGAACCUUACCUACUCUUGACAUCCAGAGAA
RNAcentral lists this ribosomal RNA (940 nucleotides) under uncultured bacterium. RNAcentral's name for it is "bacterial SSU rRNA". It matches the Rfam family "Bacterial small subunit ribosomal RNA", at positions 65 to 995 of the family's 1533-position model. The record is from RNAcentral.